AUACGUAGGGGGCAAGCGUUAUCCGGAUUUACUGGGUGUAAAGGGAGUGUAGGUGGCCAUGCAAGUCAGAUGUGAAAACCCGGGGCUCAACCCCGUGACUGCAUUUGAAACUGUGGUGCUGGAGUGCAGGAGAGGUAAGUGGAAUUCCUAGUGUAGCGGUGAAAUGCGUAGAUAUUAGGAGGAACACCAGUGGCGAAGGCGGCUUACGGGACUGUAACGGAGGUUGAGGCUCGAAAGCGUGGGGAGAAAACAGGUUAAGAUCCCCGGUUAGUCCACGCCGUAAACGAUGAAUACUAGGUGUUGGGGAGCAAAGCUCUUCGGUGCCGCCGCUAACGCAAUAAGUAUUCCACCUGGGGAGUACGGUCGCAAGAAUGAAACUCAAAUGAAUUGGCGGGG
RNAcentral lists this ribosomal RNA (396 nucleotides) under uncultured bacterium. RNAcentral describes it as "partial 16S ribosomal RNA". It matches the Rfam family "Bacterial small subunit ribosomal RNA", at positions 523 to 918 of the family's 1533-position model. The record is from RNAcentral.